Long non-coding RNA from Oncorhynchus tshawytscha (Chinook salmon), 458 nucleotides. Lineage: Eukaryota; Metazoa; Chordata; Actinopteri; Salmoniformes; Salmonidae. The record is from Ensembl.
CUUGAGCCCUGCCCUCAACAGUGACCCUCGGGCAGAGACAAACAAGAACCAGCAGAGGCUCAACACUGGCAGUUGACUGUCCUGGACACUCAAGAGUGGACGGACACACUGAACAGAACCAGAACAGGACCCUGGAUCUUCAGCUGUAGCCAGUCUAUAAUCUGUCCUCAAUCCAAACACUACUUUACAGCCUAGCUCUUCACAGUGAAACCUCCUCUUCAUCAGCCGAGACAGCAGGCUUCCUUCACUUACCUACCAGCUGCCACAGAGGAACCACAGCGUUUACCAAGGUGGGAAGCAGGCAGUCUUGUAAUGAAAAUCACAGGAGGACUACAUCACUAUUCCCCCUUCGAGGCGGAAACCUAUUGGACUGACCAUUCUCUGACAACGUCACCAGGUCGGACCUGACAGUGACCACUGUGUGUGUGUGUGUGUGUGUGUGUGUGUGUGUGUGUGUG